GGUAAGAUGGCUGAGGGACAAGCGGUGGACUGUAGUUCCGCAAACAGAGGUUUAAGUCCUCUUCUUAUCA
Molecule: transfer RNA, 70 nt
Filed under: Aphyosemion kouamense
Lineage: Eukaryota; Metazoa; Chordata; Actinopteri; Cyprinodontiformes; Nothobranchiidae
Description: tRNA-Tyr
Rfam family: tRNA
About the family: Transfer RNA (tRNA) molecules are approximately 80 nucleotides in length. Their secondary structure includes four short double-helical elements and three loops (D, anti-codon, and T loops).
Source: RNAcentral